Molecule: ribosomal RNA, 253 nt
Filed under: uncultured bacterium
Lineage: Bacteria
Description: partial 16S ribosomal RNA
Rfam family: Bacterial small subunit ribosomal RNA
Source: RNAcentral
UACGUAGGGUGCAAGCGUUAAUCGGAAUUACUGGGCGUAAAGCGUCCGCAGGCGGUUUUAUAAGACAGAUGUGAAAUCCCUGGGCUCAACCUAGGAACUGCAUUUGUGACUGUAAAGCUAGAGUACGGCAGAGGGGGAUGGAAUUCCGCGUGUAGCAGUGAAAUGCGUAGAUAUGCGGAGGAACACCGAUGGCGAAGGCAAUCCCCUGGGCCUGUACUGACGCUCAUGGACGAAAGCGUGGGGAGCAAACAGG